GUUUAGUAAAUCUGGUUCUAAAAGGUUUGAAGCAAGUAAAUGAUGUUACCUUUUCUCCUUGUUGAAUGACUGUAUCAGAACCAGCUGCAUACCUUCUCUCCUUUGGGUCCUUGGAAGUUCAAUCCCAUGUUUCCCUUCAAGAAAUGCUCACCCUGGAGCCUGGUAAACCAUUAAUGCCAGGAUCCCCAUUUUCUGAAGGCCGAUUAAUUUCUAUGACAUCCCCAGGCUCCCCCUACAGAAAAAAAAGAAAAGAACCUAGUGGACCCUGUGGAGCCAAGAAAAUAUGAAUUAUUUUGAGAAUAAUGACUUCAAAUA
This is a long non-coding RNA of Sinocyclocheilus anshuiensis, 315 nucleotides long. RefSeq lists it as uncharacterized. The transcript is spliced from 4 exons. NCBI's taxonomy places the organism in Eukaryota, Metazoa, Chordata, Actinopteri, Cypriniformes, Cyprinidae. The record is from RefSeq and is a predicted model, not a curated record.